Molecule: ribosomal RNA, 345 nt
Filed under: uncultured bacterium
Lineage: Bacteria
Description: bacterial SSU rRNA
Rfam family: Bacterial small subunit ribosomal RNA
Source: RNAcentral
AACGAACGCUGGCGGCAGGCCUAACACAUGCAAGUCGAACGCUCCGCAAGGGGAGUGGCGCGCGGGUGAGUAACACGUGGGAACCUACCUUCUGGUACGGAACAACCAAGGGAAACUUUGGCUAAGACCGUAUACGACCUCCGGGUGAAAGAUUGAUCGCCGGAAGAGGGGCCCGCGUCCGAUUAGGUAGUUGGUGAGGUAACGGCUCACCAAGCCUUCGAUCGGUAGCUGGUCUGAGAGGAUGACCAGCCACACUGGGACUGAGACACGGCCCAGACUCCUACGGGAGGCAGCAGUGGGGAAUAUUGGACAAUGGGCGGCAAGCCUGAUCCAGCCAUGCCGCGU